UGCCAGCAGCCGCGGUAAUACGGAGGGUGCUAGCGUUGUUCGGAAUUACUGGGCGUAAAGCGUGCGUAGGCGGCCCAUUAAGUCAGGCGUGAAAGCCCCGAGCUCAACUUGGGAACUGCGUUUGAUACUGGUGGGCUAGAGAUCUAGAGAGGUAAGUGGAAUUCCUAGUGUAGAGGUGAAAUUCGUAGAUAUUAGGAGGAACACCAGAGGCGAAGGCGGCUUACUGGCUAGAUACUGACGCUGAGGUACGAAAGCGUGGGGAGCAAACAGGAUUAGAUA
RNAcentral lists this ribosomal RNA (279 nucleotides) under uncultured bacterium. RNAcentral's name for it is "partial 16S ribosomal RNA". It matches the Rfam family "Bacterial small subunit ribosomal RNA", at positions 506 to 784 of the family's 1533-position model. The record is from RNAcentral.